This 903-nucleotide ribosomal RNA is filed under the name uncultured bacterium. Its description in RNAcentral is "bacterial SSU rRNA". It matches the Rfam family "Bacterial small subunit ribosomal RNA", at positions 8 to 927 of the family's 1533-position model. The record is from RNAcentral.
AGAGUUUGAUCCUGGCUCAGGAUGAACGCUGGCGGCGUGCCUAAUACAUGCAAGUCGAGCGGGAACCUCUGGAUUCGUCUGGAGGGGAGAGCGGCGGACGGGUGAGUAACACGUGGGUGACCUGCCCCGAAGACGGGGACAACCACUGGAAACGGUGGCUAAUACCCGAUGUGCUCGGCGAUUCGUUUUGCCGAGUAAAGCUCCGGCGCUUCGGGAUGGGCCUGCGGCCUAUCAGCUAGUUGGCAGGGUAACGGCCUACCAAGGCGAAGACGGGUAGGGGGCGUGAGAGCGUGUUCCCCCACACUGGCACUGACACACGGGCCAGACUCCUACGGGAGGCAGCAGUCGGGAAUAUUGCACAAUGGGCGAAAGCUAGAUGCAGCAACGCCGCGUGGGCGAUGAAGGCUCUCGGGUCGUAAAGCCCUUUUCUGGGGGAAGAGAGAAAGGACGGUACCCCAGGAAUAAGCGUCGGCUAACUACGUGCCAGCAGCCGCGGUAAAACGUAGGACGCGAGCGUUAUCCGGAUUUACUGGGCGUAAAGUGCGUUGAGGCGGUUCCGUAAGUUGGACGUGAAAGCCCCCGGCCUAACUGGGGGAGGUCGUUCAAUACUGCGGAACUUGAGGGCAGCAGAGGGAGGUGGAAUUCCCGGUGUAGUGGUGAAAUGCGUAGAUAUCGGGAGGAACACCAGUGGCGAAGGCGGCCUCCUGGGCUGUUCCUGACGCUGAAGGCGAAAGCUAGGGGAGCAAACGGGAUUAGAAACCCCGGUAGUCCUAGCUGUAAACGAUGGAUGCUAGGUGUGGGGGGUAUAGAUUCCCUCCGUGCCGAAGCUAACGCGUUAAGCAUCCCGCCUGGGGAGUACGGCCGCAAGGCUAAAACUCAAACGAAUUGACGGGGACCCGCACA